This 492-nucleotide ribosomal RNA is filed under the name uncultured bacterium. Its description in RNAcentral is "partial 16S ribosomal RNA". It matches the Rfam family "Bacterial small subunit ribosomal RNA", at positions 29 to 507 of the family's 1533-position model. The record is from RNAcentral.
AGUGAACGCUGGCGGUACGCCUAACACAUGCAAGUCGAACGGCAGCACAGUAAGAGCUUGCUCUUACGGGUGGCGAGUGGCGGACGGGUGAGGAAUACAUCGGAAUCUACUUUUUCGUGGGGGAUAACGUAGGGAAACUUACGCUAAUACCGCAUACGACCUACGGGUGAAAGCGGGGGAUCUUCGGACCUUGCGCGAUUGAAUGAGCCGAUGUCGGAUUAGCUAGUUGGCGGGGUAAAGGCCCACCAAGGCGACGAUCCGUAGCUGGUCUGAGAGGAUGAUCAGCCACACUGGAACUGAGACACGGUCCAGACUCCUACGGGAGGCAGCAGUGGGGAAUAUUGGACAAUGGGCGCAAGCCUGAUCCAGCCAUACCGCGUGGGUGAAGAAGGCCUUCGGGUUGUAAAGCCCUUUUGUUGGGAAAGAAAAGCAGCAGGUUAAUACCCCGCUGUUCUGACGGUACCCAAAGAAUAAGCACCGGCUAACUUCGUG